GUAUUGUUUUUUGGCCGAAGCCUAAAAUACAUUCAUUUACUUUAGAGUAUAUGAAAACAUAGACUCGGAAAUUAAUCCUAGUCUACAGCAAGUGCACAGGUGGAUGUAAAGGCGGGAGUGCACGACUUGUAAAGGCCAGCAACAUCCCUUUGGAUUCGAUAAUGAUCCUUCCGCAGGUUCACCUACGGAAA
Molecule: unclassified non-coding RNA, 191 nt
Filed under: uncultured fungus
Lineage: Eukaryota; Fungi
Description: sequence contains ITS1, 5.8S rRNA gene
Source: RNAcentral